GAGUUAGUAAUUAAUAAUAAUAUCUAAAUUGCAAAUAGAAAUAAUUGACCUAUCAAUCUAACCCA
RNAcentral lists this transfer RNA (65 nucleotides) under Pseudocellus pearsei. RNAcentral describes it as "tRNA-Ala". Lineage: Eukaryota; Metazoa; Arthropoda; Arachnida; Ricinulei; Ricinoididae. The record is from RNAcentral.